GGGUAAUUGAUGCUUCUUAAAUUUGAAAAUGGCACCGAGGUAUGACUCAUGCUGGAGGAGAAAAGUCAAGAGCCAGCAAAGUAUUUGCAGAAGAUACAGAAGAAAGGUAGACACACAAGGAGUGGAGAAUGCAGAAUCAAAGUGGAGGCCAGAUGACUAUUGCACUGAAGGAAUACCUUGUCUUCCUGAAUAUACUACAUUUACACCAGUUAUGAGUCAGUUCUGAGAUUUUGGCAGGUUUGCUUUGAUACAGCUAAAAUACUGUCUUCCUUGUCUAAAUGGCUGCAUUACAAGAAAGUGAUCAUUUUCUGAAACUGAAAGACACUUGGAGCUGAGUGAUAUUAAUGAUAGACUCUAACUGAUUAUCAUCCUCGUUACUAAUAAGCUGUUUUCCCAAUGUCUAUGUCCUAUUUAAGAGCAAAUAAUAUUGUUAGAUUAUUGAUGUUGAAAUAUCCAGUGAAAAAUAUUUAGAUUUGCUUUUGUCUGCAUUAUGUAACCCCAAUUUUCACCAUGU
Molecule: long non-coding RNA, 514 nt
Organism: Ictalurus furcatus (blue catfish)
Lineage: Eukaryota; Metazoa; Chordata; Actinopteri; Siluriformes; Ictaluridae
Exons: 3
Source: RefSeq, a predicted model, not a curated record